Long non-coding RNA from Raphanus sativus (radish), 959 nucleotides. RefSeq lists it as uncharacterized. The record is from RefSeq and is a predicted model, not a curated record. Lineage: Eukaryota; Viridiplantae; Streptophyta; Magnoliopsida; Brassicales; Brassicaceae. The transcript has 4 exons.
CUCUCCAGCAACCCUCUUCCUGUCGUCACUUCGUCUUCCUCACAUCCCUGCGAUCUCCCCGAUGUGAUCCUCAAACUUCAGUCGGCGGCGUUGAUCAGUAACGUCUCUCCUUUCAAUUAAUCACCUCUUUACUCCGACUUUAAUCGUUUGAUCCAACCCGACUUAAAAGUACCUCUUUGUCUUCCUUAAAAACCCAAAAAGGCUUUCCUAUAAAUAUCGGUCUCCUCCUGCUGCGAUGAGCGCACCUCUCACAAUAUCAGAAAGGAUUCUAAUUUCCAGCGAUCUAUUUCCAUAUCUUCAUACACUCUGCUUGCUGAUCUCAGAGCCGGCCGAUACUCUAACACCACGGAGGUGCAUCUGCUGCAUUUUUGGGAGGCCAGAAAUAUCACCAGUGAAGACCUCAUCAGUGUUGACAUGUUGCUCAUCAAUGAGAAUGCUACGAUGGUUCAUGGGUCUGUUACUGCUCUUCGCCAGCUCAAGUUCAGGCAACAACUGUCUGAGGGAAGUGUCUACCGUUGCUUAUGAAUCUUUCACCCUCCUUACCGAUCUGAAAGCUGGGUGCUGCUCCAACACUGAAGAGGUUCGUUUUCUGAGGUAUUGGGAGAUAUGCAACAUUUAUAGAGUUUAAGGUUGGAUCCUUUUCUUAACCGGCUAUUUAGCACGUUGAGCUGGACCAUCACUGAGUUUUCAGUCUCGGUGCGAGAUAUGCAAGAAAACAAUCAGGUAAUGGAGUUUCAGCAAAGGAAAUGUUGCGUGAUAUUUGAGCUUUCAAGCAAUCUUGCAAGGGUUUCUUGAUGGGUAUAAACAUUUGCAAUUCUGCAAUACCACAAGCAUUUCUUGAUGGGACGGACACAAAUCUUCGCAGGCUCACUGAGGAAGGUGCAAAUAUUCCUGAAGUAAGGCUGCCUGAAGUUGUGGCACCAUGAAGAGAUGACAAAUAUGGUAAGUGGUAACUGUUG